RNAcentral lists this non-coding RNA (148 nucleotides) under Homo sapiens (human). The record is from Rfam by way of RNAcentral. Lineage: Eukaryota; Metazoa; Chordata; Mammalia; Primates; Hominidae.
GCCGGGCAUGGCGGUGGAUGCCUGUAAUCCCAGCUACUUAGGAGGCUGAGGCAGGAGAAUUGCUUGAACCUGGGAGGUUGAAGUUGCAGUGAGCUGAGAUUGUGCCAUUGCACUCCAGCCUGGGCAACAGAGCAAGACUCCGUCUCAU